GUCCUAGUAGCGCAAUGAAUAGCUCGUUGGACUACUAAUUCAAAAGUCGUGAGUUCGAAUCCCACCUGGGAUG
Trichonephila inaurata madagascariensis is the source of this 73-nucleotide non-coding RNA. Lineage: Eukaryota; Metazoa; Arthropoda; Arachnida; Araneae; Nephilidae. The record is from the annotation of a GenBank genome assembly.